CAAUAGCGUAUAUUUAAGUUGUUGCAGUUAAAAAGCUCGUAGUCGGAUUUUGGCUGAGAACGAUCGGUCCGCCGUUAGGUGUGCACUGAUUGGUCUCAGCUUCCUGGUGAGGAGGUGUGCUUCACGGCCACUUAGUCACCGUGGUUACUUUGAAAAAAUUAGAGUGUUCAAAGCGGGCUUACGCUUGAAUAUAUUAGCAUGGAAUAACACCAUAGGACUCCUGUCCUAUUUCGUUGGUCACGGGACGGGAGUAAUGACUAAGAGGAACAGUUGGGGGCAUUCGUAUUUCAUUGUCAGAGGUGAAAUUCUUGGAUUUAUGAAAGACGAACUUCUGCGAAAGCAUUUGCCAAGGAUGUUUUCAUUGA
This 365-nucleotide ribosomal RNA is filed under the name uncultured eukaryote. RNAcentral's name for it is "partial 18S ribosomal RNA". It matches the Rfam family "Eukaryotic small subunit ribosomal RNA", at positions 592 to 976 of the family's 1831-position model. The record is from RNAcentral.